AACGAACGCUGGCGGCAUGCCUAACACAUGCAAGUCGAACGAUCCCUUCGGGGAUAGUGGCGCACGGGUGCGUAACGCGUGGGAACCUGCCCUUAGGUUCGGAAUAACUCAGAGAAAUUUGAGCUAAUACCGGAUAAUGUCUUCGGACCAAAGAUUUAUCGCCUUUGGAUGGGCCCGCGUUGGAUUAGCUAGUUGGUGGGGUAAAGGCCUACCAAGGCGACGAUCCAUAGCUGGUCUGAGAGGAUGAUCAGCCACACUGGGACUGAGACACGGCCCAGGCUCCUACGGGAGGCAGCAGUGGGGAAUAUUGGACAAUGGGCGAAAGCCUGAUCCAGCAAUGCCGCGUGAGUGAUGAAGGCCUUAGGGUUGUAAAGCUCUUUUACCCGGGAUGAUAAUGACAGUACCGGGAGAAUAAGCCCCGGCUAACUCCGUG
This 433-nucleotide ribosomal RNA is filed under the name uncultured bacterium. RNAcentral describes it as "partial 16S ribosomal RNA". It matches the Rfam family "Bacterial small subunit ribosomal RNA", at positions 29 to 507 of the family's 1533-position model. The record is from RNAcentral.